GGAUUCGCGACCUAUGUUUUGGUUAUCAUGUGCUGUCACUCUGAUUAAAACGUAUGCACUGUGAAUCAGACCACGAAAUACACGUUUAAAAACAUAUAUGUAUGACAUACUUAUAACUAUAUUUAGAUAAUUAUAUACGCCGAUAUAAUACACCCGGUAGAAAUACAUUUGCGCAUUUCAUUUAAAGCGUGAUUUAGACACAAACUGUUAGAAUAAGUGAAUUAAAUAAAGCAUCGAUUAUGUGAAUAAUGACAUCUAGAUUUAUGUGGAAAUAACGUUUAACCGGAAGUAUAAUUUAUCGUUGAACAGUAUGGAAAUAUAUAAAAAAGGAAAUGUGACGUUCAUAAUCGUUUUAUAAAGAAGGAUUGAAUAUUACCUAGAGUAAAUUGGUAAAUUAUGAAUUCGUUACAGAACAAUGAUUUCAACAAAUAUGAUCGAUAAUGACGAUUAUUAAAGAACCUUUAAAUAUAGGUGCAAGUGACUUAUUAAAAGGAGUUGAAUAUACACAUUGCGGAGUACUACACAUCCAGUGCAACACAGUUUUUGGGAAAAAAUGUAAGUAUCUGUUUUCCCAAAG
This is a long non-coding RNA of Mercenaria mercenaria, 577 nucleotides long. RefSeq lists it as uncharacterized. The transcript has 3 exons. The record is from RefSeq and is a predicted model, not a curated record. Lineage: Eukaryota; Metazoa; Mollusca; Bivalvia; Venerida; Veneridae.